RNAcentral lists this long non-coding RNA (410 nucleotides) under Olea europaea (common olive). RNAcentral describes it as "long non-coding RNA (OEUR_LNC009192)". Lineage: Eukaryota; Viridiplantae; Streptophyta; Magnoliopsida; Lamiales; Oleaceae. The record is from RNAcentral.
UCUCUUUUAGUGAAUGAUUGUAAUAAAUUAAGUUUCAAAAGGGAGAUAAGAAACUUUGAUGAAUAUGACGAUUUUAGAAGUUUUGAUUCAAUCAAUCAAAAUUUUGAGUGUGAAGAAGCAGAAAAAUAUAUGCAAUGUUAGUUCAAAAAUCUUCUUCGAUUAUAAGUAAUGGAAGACCUAAACCGUCUAAAGCAAGUUUGGGAUUAAAGUGGUCCAUCAUGACCCCCUUCUCACCUAGAAGUCUUUUAGUUGUGCAUUAUACAAAUCAAUAAAAUGAAAGCAAUAUUACAAACGACAAACUUGCUCUAAAUUUAGGAAAGUGAAAUCUUACUUUAGGGAACUUAUACAUUUAGAAACUUCUAAUUUUGAAAAUUUCUAGAUUAGGUAAGCCCUUAAUUUCCUGAAUUAUG